CAUCCCGAUAAUUACCUUCCUCGUUGUACCGCUACAUGCAUAUUUAAACAAGUCCCAAAAAUUCUCUAAACAGACCCAAAAUUCUUCGAUUCCCCGAAUCUUCCCCGUUUCUCGAAAUUUCUCAACCGCCUGUAAAAAAAAACCUUUCGACAGUCCAGCAGAGCUUUGUGUUCCUCGAGCAUAGAAUCGCUCAAAGUGCCGCUCGACUAUUCGGCACUCGCGAAAGCCUCGCAAAUUGAUCACUCGGCAGUUUGGCACGCGUUCGCUAACGAAUCAUCAAAGAACUCGUGACCAAACGGCCCAUCAAGAUCUUCAUGAAAAAACACAGCUGGACCGUCGAAAAGUUCGGAGGAUUCGUCGCGCGGUGACUUUGACGCUAAUUAAAAAGUAAAAUGUCCCUCGUGAAAUUUGCAUGGGAAUUCGCGCUCGAGUUAAGGAGAAAAGGAGAGGGAGGAGAGAAAGAAGAAGAAAAAAUCUUAAAAGGAACCCCACCCAUACAGACUGGCAUUAAGAAAAUAAAGAACCAGCUCCCUUCUUAGACUCCGUGCUCGACGCUCUUCCCGACUCCUGCACGUACGUAGAGUCGCGUAGCACUUAAAAGGCACUGGAGGAGCACGAAGCUGGUAAAAAGCCUGAACGACGCUGGCCUCCCGAUGGCUAUUGAACUCUUGUGCAACCUGCAUAAAAAGCUACGUGUCAGUGAGUGAACCCGGCAUUUCCAUUGCCGGUUAACCAUUGGUCCACGCUGGUACACCGGGUUCAAGUUCACCUCGGACUUCGUCUCGAAGAUCCUUUACUGUAAAAUUACGAGAAUCUUCAGAAUUUACUCGAGUCAACGUGCAUGUAUAUCUAUGGACGUUUCACGUUUCUAUGACUCUGCCUGCAGUCGUGUACGCGACUUGUCCGCACUGCAGCGACAUUGACCGCUCGAUUACGCGGAAACCAGCCUGACGCUUGACACUUGCAUAGAAAUACACUGAGUGGCUACCCGGUAGAAUGGGGUAUUUUGAAAAAAGGGAAAAAAUGAAAAAUUCUCCAAGCAAACGUUAAACUGUACAUAUGAAGUUAUUUCGAUGAACUUCUAAUGUCCUAACGAUCGUUCUCAGUCCCUUGACAUUCUAACGUUGCUCAAUAGUUUUUUCCUUCUGCCUCGACUGGACGCUAAUAAAACUUUCGCACCGUUAGAAACCAGACAACGUGGUAACAAGGAUGUAUCGAAUGUCGUUGAUUACGAACGGUAUUAAUUAAAUAAAUUAAUUGUAACUAAUAAUAAUAAUAAUGGCAAUGAAAAUUCAAGGUUUACUACUCUCGUCGGAAAUUUAUUUCAUCACAGGUAUUCCUCUUUCGCCGAUCUGUCACUUCGUGCGACUGUCAAUUAUUUUUGAAAAAAAAAAAAAAAAAA
Molecule: long non-coding RNA, 1402 nt
Organism: Cephus cinctus (wheat stem sawfly)
Lineage: Eukaryota; Metazoa; Arthropoda; Insecta; Hymenoptera; Cephidae
Exons: 2
Source: RefSeq, a predicted model, not a curated record